RNAcentral lists this ribosomal RNA (691 nucleotides) under uncultured bacterium. RNAcentral describes it as "bacterial SSU rRNA". It matches the Rfam family "Bacterial small subunit ribosomal RNA", at positions 87 to 810 of the family's 1533-position model. The record is from RNAcentral.
GAGUACAGUGGGCGCACGGGUGAGUAACACGUGAAUUAUCUACCUCCGAGUGGGGAAUAACUGAGAGAAAUCUUAGCUAAUACCGCAUAACACUUACGAGUCAAAGCAGCAAUGCGCUUGGAGAGGAGUUCGCGGCCGAUUAGUUAGUUGGCGGGGUAAUGGCCCACCAAGACGAUGAUCGGUAUCCGGCCUGAGAGGGCGCACGGACACACUGGAACUGAAACACGGUCCAGACUCCUACGGGAGGCAGCAGUGGGGAAUUUUGCGCAAUGGGGGAAACCCUGACGCAGCAACGCCGCGUGGAGGAUGAAAUAUCUUGGUAUGUAAACUCCUUUCGAUGGGGAAGAUUAUGACGGUACCCAUAGAAGAAGCCCCGGCUAACUUCGUGCCAGCAGCCGCGGUAAUACGAGGGGGGCAAGCGUUGUUCGGAUUUAUUGGGCGUAAAGGGUGCGUAGGCGGUUUGGCAAGUCUGAUGUGAAAUCUAUGGGCUCAACCCAUAGUCUGCAUCAGAAACUGCCGGGCUUGAGUAUGGGAGAGGUGAGUGGAAUUUCCGGUGUAGCGGUGAAAUGCGUAGAUAUCGGAAGGAACACCUGUGGCGAAAGCGGCUCACUGGACCAUAACUGACGCUGAUGCACGAAAGCUAGGGGAGCAAACAGGAUUAGAUACCCUGGUAGUCCUAGCCCUAAACGAU